CCUACGGGAGGCAGCAGUGAGGAAUAUUGGUCAAUGGGCGCGAGCCUGAACCAGCCAAGUAGCGUGAAGGAUGACUGCCCUACGGGUUGUAAACUGCUUUUAUAAAGGAAUAAAGUGAGGCACGUGUGCCUUUUUGUAUGUACCUUAUGAAUAAGGAUCGGCUAAUUCCGUGCCAGCAGCCGCGGUAAUACGGAUGAUCCAAGCGUUAUCCGGAUUUAUUGGGUUUAAAGGGUGCGAAGGCGGGUUGUUAAGCUGGAUGUGAAAGGGCGGAGCUGAACUGGGGCACUGCCUCUAGUACUGGGGAUCUGGAGAGUGGAUGCGGUAGGCGGAAGGUAUGGUGUAGCGGUGAAAUGCUUAGAGAUCAUACAGAACACCGAUUGCGAAGGCAGCUUACC
This 395-nucleotide ribosomal RNA is filed under the name uncultured bacterium. RNAcentral describes it as "partial 16S ribosomal RNA". It matches the Rfam family "Bacterial small subunit ribosomal RNA", at positions 338 to 730 of the family's 1533-position model. The record is from RNAcentral.